AUGACAUCCACUCUGCUAUGAAGCUAGACAGAUACUGUAAAAUUGCUACAGUACCAAACACUGUCAUCUUGCAUUCUGCCUCCCUCCUACUGCCCAUCUGGAAUGGGAUCAUGUCUACAUGCAAGUGGCCAGCUAAUAAAUCACAUUGAACAGUUUCUGGAUACCAAUGAAACGCCGUAUUUUAUGAAGAGCAUGGACUGCAUCACAGUCUUCCGGGAAGAAGCCAUUCAGUUUUCAGAAGAGCAGCGAUUUAACGAUUUCCUGAAAGCCCUUCGAGAGAAAGUGGAAAUGAAACAGUUAAAUCAUUUCUGGGAAAUUGUCAUUCAGGGUAAGGUGUCUUCUGUCAUUUUCUCCAAA
Molecule: non-coding RNA, 357 nt
Organism: Leptonychotes weddellii (Weddell seal)
Lineage: Eukaryota; Metazoa; Chordata; Mammalia; Carnivora; Phocidae
Source: RefSeq, a predicted model, not a curated record